CACGUAGGGCGCGAGCGUUGUCCGGAAUCACUGGGCGUAAAGGGCGCGUAGGCGGAUGGCACAGUCAGAUGUGAAAUUCCUGGGCUUAACCUGGGGGCUGCAUUUGAUACGUGUGAUCUAGAGUGAGGAAGAGGGUUGUGGAAUUCCCAGUGUAGAGGUGAAAUUCGUAGAUAUUGGGAAGAACACCGGUGGCGAAGGCGGCGACCUGGUCCUUAACUGACGCUGAGGCGCGAAAGCGUGGGGAGCAAGCAGG
This 253-nucleotide ribosomal RNA is filed under the name uncultured bacterium. RNAcentral describes it as "partial 16S ribosomal RNA". It matches the Rfam family "Bacterial small subunit ribosomal RNA", at positions 524 to 776 of the family's 1533-position model. The record is from RNAcentral.